This 106-nucleotide small nuclear RNA is filed under the name Neogale vison (American mink). Lineage: Eukaryota; Metazoa; Chordata; Mammalia; Carnivora; Mustelidae. The record is from RNAcentral.
GUGCUCGCUUCGGCAGCACAUAUAUUAAAUUGGAAUGAUACAGAGAAGAUUAGCAUGGCCCCUGCACAAGGAUGACACCCAAAUUCGUGAAGCAUUCCAUAUUAAA